This is a non-coding RNA of Cherax quadricarinatus, 1336 nucleotides long. The record is from RefSeq and is a predicted model, not a curated record. Lineage: Eukaryota; Metazoa; Arthropoda; Malacostraca; Decapoda; Parastacidae.
CUCAUCCACUAACCUUUGCAAUUUUUCUUUAGAAUCUCCCAUAAGCACAGUAUCAUCAGCAAAAAGUAACUGUGUCAAUUCCCAUUUUGAAUUUGAUUCCCCAAAAUUUAAUCCCACCCCUCUCCCGAACACCCUAGCAUUUACUUCCUUUACAACCCAUCUAUAAAUAUAUUAAACAACCAUGGUGACAUUACACAUCCCUGUCUAAGACCUACUUUUACCAGGAAGUAGUCUCCCUCUCUUCUACACACCCUAACCUGAGCCUCACUAUCCUCAUAAAAACUCUUUACAGCAUUUAAUAACUUACCACCUAUUCCAUAUACUUGCAACAUCUGCCACAUUGCUGCUCUAUCCACUCCAUCAUAUGCUUUUUCUAAAUCCAUAAAUGCAAUAAAAACUUCCCUACCUUUAUCUAAAUACUGUUCACAUAUAUGCUUCAAUGUACAAGUCUCUCUCAACAUUCACGUUUUCAGCUUUCGCGGGCUUCACACAUUCGCGAAUUCCCAACCGCCAAAUUCCCAACUGCCAAAUUCCCAGCCGCCAAAUCAUAUUCAAGUUUCCCGCCACCUGCGAGUCCCUACUACCCUCCCUCCUACCCCCGCAACUGACAGCCAGCCCUCCCACCACUCAGUGUGCCUGUUGCUAAGAAGCAGAAUAACCUAGAAAUGAACAAGGACUACGAAUUAUCACUCCUGGUUAAGAAAGUGAAAAACAAAACAAAUAUUACUAUGAAGAAACAAGGGAUGUAAAAUAUUUUUGAUGAUCUACCAGUCAACUGUACUCUUUAGUAGCAUAAAGUGCAUUACUGUACUUUUCUGUAUUAAGAAUUUUUUAUGUUUUUUUUUUAAAAUUUAGGAAUAUUCAUAUGAUAUAAGAGAUGUGACAGUGACUAUCCCAAUUUAGACUUUACAUACAUUGUAAAUUUUAAAAACUUGUAAAAAUAUAACUGUACUUGCAGAAUGAAAUGCAUUUUGGGUAGUUUACCUCAAAACAAUAAAUAUGAGUAUAUUUUACUACCUUUCUGUAAAUGUUUUCUUUCUGUACAGUUCUAAAGUUAAAUAUUUUCAAUUAAAUUUUACAUACCAGGUAAAAGGUGAUAUUCUAGGAUACAAAUUGUAGAACACAGGGUAUGCAUGUAUUUAAUAUGUUGUGUGCCUGUGUUCGGGGAUUUUGGGUCUUGCAGUGAAUGAUGGAGAGAUCCAUUUUUAAGCACUACUGUCUCAUUGUGUUCCACAUUUUUUUGUAUCUUAGUAUCUGUGAUAUUUUGGAUCACUGCAACAGCCACCAUGAAGGAACUAAAAAUGAGCAUUUAGCUUGAAAUAAAGCUAGAAGUGGA